This 231-nucleotide unclassified non-coding RNA is filed under the name plant metagenome. RNAcentral's name for it is "partial contains small subunit ribosomal RNA, internal transcribed spacer 1, and 5.8S ribosomal RNA". The record is from RNAcentral.
UCUCCGUUGGUGAACCAGCGGAGGGAUCAUUACUGAGUCACCGCUCUACAACCCUUUGUGAACAUACCUAACUGUUGCUUCGGCGGGCAGAGGUCCCUCGCGGAUCUCUCCCGGCAACGCCCUCACGGGCGGAGCGCCCGCCGGAGGAUACCAAGCUCUAUUUUAACGACGUUUCUUCUGAGUGGCACAAGCAAAUAAUUAAAACUUUUAACAACGGAUCUCUUGGUUCUG